RNAcentral lists this ribosomal RNA (556 nucleotides) under uncultured fungus. RNAcentral's name for it is "bacterial SSU rRNA". It matches the Rfam family "Eukaryotic small subunit ribosomal RNA", at positions 1 to 583 of the family's 1831-position model. Lineage: Eukaryota; Fungi. The record is from RNAcentral.
GAUCGUAGUCAUAUGCUUGUCUCAAAGAUUAAGCCAUGCAUGUCUAAGUAUAAGCAAUUAUACAGCGAAACUGGGAAUGGCUCAUUAAAUCAGUUAUCGUUUAUUUGAUAGUACCUUACUACAUGGAUCACCGUGGUAAUUCUAGAGCUAAUACAUGCUAAAAAAACGGGGUUGGGAAGGGUUGUAUUUUUUAGAUUAAAAACCAAUUCCCUCGGGGCUCCCUGAGAUUCAUAAUAACUUCUAGAAUCGCGCGGCCUUGCCCCGGCGAUGGUUCAUUCAAAUUUUUGCCCUAUCACCUUUGGAGGUAAGGGUCUGGCCCAGCCAUGGUAGCAACGGGUAACGGAGGGUUAGGGCUCGACCCCGGAGAAGGAGCCUGAGAAACGGCUACUACAUCCAAGGAAGGCAGCAGGCGCGCAAAUUACCCAAUCCCGAUACGGGGAGGUAGUGACAAUAAAUACUGAUACAGGGCUCUUUUGGGUCUUGUAAUUGGAAUGAGUACAAUUCAAAUCCCUUAACGAGGAACAAUUGGAGGGCAAGUCUGGUGCCAGCAGCCAAU